AACGAACGCUGGCGGCAUGCCUAACACAUGCAAGUCGAACGAGACCUUCGGGUCUAGUGGCGCACGGGUGCGUAACGCGUGGGAACCUGCCCUUAGGUUCGGAAUAACUCCCCGAAAGGGGUGCUAAUACCGGAUAAUGUCUUCGGACCAAAGAUUUAUCGCCUUUGGAUGGGCCCGCGUUGGAUUAGCUAGUUGGUAGGGUAAAAGCCUACCAAGGCGACGAUCCAUAGCUGGUCUGAGAGGAUGAUCAGCCACACUGGGACUGAGACACGGCCCAGACUCCUACGGGAGGCAGCAGGGGGGAAUAUUGGACAAUGGGCGAAAGCCUGAUCCAGCAAUGCCGCGUGAGUGAUGAAGGCCUUAGGGUUGUAAAGCUCUUUUACCCGGGAUGAUAAUGACAGUACCGGAGGAUAAGCUCCGGCUAACUCCGUG
Molecule: ribosomal RNA, 432 nt
Filed under: uncultured bacterium
Lineage: Bacteria
Description: partial 16S ribosomal RNA
Rfam family: Bacterial small subunit ribosomal RNA
Source: RNAcentral